AAAUUGUUAGUAAUGGAAUUGCUCAAAAGUGACCUCUAGCUUCAAAAUGGGAGCUGACCUUUGGCUAGAAAUGUGUCAAGAGAAAUGAUAACAGAACAAAUUUGUAAAUUAGGUUUGUAUCUCCAUUUUGCAGGAAGGCAGACUUCAAAAUUGCACUACUUGCUGCCUGCCAGAUGGACUUUUUAAGUCCUCUGACGCUAAAGCCUCUGCUCCUAACUGUUAUUCUGCCCAUCAGAGCUGUUCCCGGAAGGCAGCCCCUGCCACGUGGUACAGAAGCAGACUUCCCAUUUGUGACCAGUGGAAAGCUGUGUCCAUUUCACUUCCCUCUUGAAGGAAGGGAGAGUGAAAGGCGGAAGAAGCAGAGGGAAGAAAUAAAGAGCUUUCAUCUCUAACUCUACCUGUAAGUUUAAGACCCCGACAACUUAGAUUCGGCUUUGCUGUUGGGUCCUCGUGUUUCUUUCUUAAGUCUCAGUGAGAGCUACAGAAUCUCACAAAGGUUCUUCAUCUGGACGGUGUCCCGGGGAGGGCCCCUGAGGAGCCCAGAACUGUAACCCCGGGAGGACCUCACUGCUGGAACUCCCAGGAAUGCCCGGGUAGGUACUGGUAAUCCUGAAGCCCUCACACCUAAGCCCUCACAGCAACACCUCAUUGGUUAAUGAAACCGAUGCGCUAAGUGUACAAAUAAAUGCUUGCGGUUUCACUACGCUAGUAACCGGUUUAGACAAAGACCCAGAAAACGUAUGAAAAUACACAACCUAGCCAUCCAGUCAGGAAGGAGGGUAGAUGUUGCCUGUGCCCUUUGCUCUGAUUGGGACUGGA
This is a long non-coding RNA of Lynx canadensis (Canada lynx), 819 nucleotides long. RefSeq lists it as uncharacterized. The transcript has 3 exons. The record is from RefSeq and is a predicted model, not a curated record. Lineage: Eukaryota; Metazoa; Chordata; Mammalia; Carnivora; Felidae.